Molecule: ribosomal RNA, 2288 nt
Filed under: Listeria monocytogenes
Lineage: Bacteria; Bacillati; Bacillota; Bacilli; Caryophanales; Listeriaceae
Description: partial 23S ribosomal RNA
Rfam family: Bacterial large subunit ribosomal RNA
Source: RNAcentral
UUGGUUAAGUUAGAAAGGGCGCACGGUGGAUGCCUUGGCACUAGGAGCCGAAGAAGGACGGGACUAACACCGAUAUGCUUUGGGGAGCUGUACGUAAGCGUUGAUCCAGAGAUUUCCGAAUGGGGGAACCCACUAUCUUUAGUCGGAUAGUAUCCUUACGUGAAUACAUAGCGUGAGGAAGGCAGACCCAGGGAACUGAAACAUCUAAGUACCUGGAGGAAGAGAAAGAAAAAUCGAUUUCCUGAGUAGCGGCGAGCGAAACGGAAAGAGCCCAAACCAAGAAGCUUGCUUCUUGGGGUUGUAGGACACUCUAUACGGAGUUACAAAAGAAAGUUAUAAAUGAAGCGGUCUGGAAAGGCCCGCCAAAGACGGUAACAGCCCGGUAGUUGAAAUGGCUUUCCCUCCAGAGUGGAUCCUGAGUACGGCGGAACACGUGAAAUUCCGUCGGAAUCCGGGAGGACCAUCUCCCAAGGCUAAAUACUCCCUAGUGACCGAUAGUGAACCAGUACCGUGAGGGAAAGGUGAAAAGCACCCCGGAAGGGGAGUGAAACAGUUCCUGAAACCGUGUGCCUACAAGUAGUUAGAGCCCGUUAAUGGGUGAUAGCGUGCCUUUUGUAGAAUGAACCGGCGAGUUACGAUUUGUUGCAAGGUUAAGCGGAAAAAGCGGAGCCGUAGCGAAAGCGAGUCUGAAUAGGGCGCAUAAGUAACAGGUCGUAGACCCGAAACCAGGUGAUCUACCCAUGUCCAGGAUGAAGGUAAGGUAAUACUUACUGGAGGUCCGAACCCACGCACGUUGAAAAGUGCGGGGAUGAGGUGUGGGUAGCGGAGAAAUUCCAAUCGAACUUGGAGAUAGCUGGUUCUCUCCGAAAUAGCUUUAGGGCUAGCCUCGAGGUAAAGAGUCAUGGAGGUAGAGCACUGUUUGGACUAGGGGCCCUUCUCGGGUUACCGAAUUCAGAUAAACUCCGAAUGCCAUGUACUUAUACUCGGGAGUCAGACUGCGAGUGAUAAGAUCCGUAGUCGAAAGGGAAACAGCCCAGACCACCAGUUAAGGUCCCCAAAUAUAUGUUAAGUGGAAAAGGAUGUGGGGUUGCUUAGACAACCAGGAUGUUGGCUUAGAAGCAGCCACCAUUGAAAGAGUGCGUAAUAGCUCACUGGUCGAGUGACCCCGCGCCGAAAAUGUACCGGGGCUAAACAUAUUACCGAAACUGUGGAUGAACCUCUUUAGAGGUUCGUGGUAGGAGAGCGUUCUAAGGGCGGUGAAGUCAGACCGGAAGGACUGGUGGAGCGCUUAGAAGUGAGAAUGCCGGUAUGAGUAGCGAAAGAAGGGUGAGAAUCCCUUCCACCGAAUAUCUAAGGUUUCCUGAGGAAGGCUCGUCCGCUCAGGGUUAGUCGGGACCUAAGCCGAGGCCGAUAGGCGUAGGCGAUGGACAACAGGUAGAGAUUCCUGUACCAGUGCUAAUUGUUUAACCGAUGGGGUGACACAGAAGGAUAGGGAAUCGCACGAAUGGAAAUGUGCGUCCAAGCAGUGAGUGUGAGAAGUAGGCAAAUCCGCUUCUCGCGAAGCAUGAGCUGUGAUGGGGAAGGAAAUUAAGUACGGAAGUUCCUGAUUUCACGCUGUCAAGAAAAGCCUCUAGGAAGAGUAGUACUGCCCGUACCGCAAACCGACACAGGUAGAUGAGGAGAGAAUCCUAAGGUGAGCGAGAGAACUCUCGUUAAGGAACUCGGCAAAAUGACCCCGUAACUUCGGGAGAAGGGGUGCUCUAUUAGGGUGCAAGCCCGAGAGAGCCGCAGUGAAUAGGCCCAGGCGACUGUUUAGCAAAAACACAGGUCUCUGCAAAACCGUAAGGUGACGUAUAGGGGCUGACGCCUGCCCGGUGCUGGAAGGUUAAGAGGAGUGCUUAGCUUCGGCGAAGGUACGAAUUGAAGCCCCAGUAAACGGCGGCCGUAACUAUAACGGUCCUAAGGUAGCGAAAUUCCUUGUCGGGUAAGUUCCGACCCGCACGAAAGGCGCAACGAUCUGGGCACUGUCUCAACGAGAGACUCGGUGAAAUUAUAGUACCUGUGAAGAUGCAGGUUACCCGCGACAGGACGGAAAGACCCCGUGGAGCUUUACUGCAACCUGAUAUGGAAUGUUUGUACCGCUUGUACAGGAUAGGUAGGAGCCGAAGAGACGUGUGCGCUAGCAUACGAGGAGGCAAUGGUGGGAUACUACCCUGGCUGUAUGACCAUUCUAACCCGCCACGCUUAGCGCGUGGGGAGACAGUGUCAGGUGGGCAGUUUGACUGGGG